This 315-nucleotide ribosomal RNA is filed under the name uncultured fungus. Its description in RNAcentral is "SSU rRNA". It matches the Rfam family "Eukaryotic small subunit ribosomal RNA", at positions 1344 to 1680 of the family's 1831-position model. The record is from RNAcentral. Lineage: Eukaryota; Fungi.
UAACCUGCUAAAUAGUUAGGCCAACGUUUGUUGGUCGACAACUUCUUAGAGGGACUAUUGACUAUUAGUCAAUGGAAGUUUGAGGCAAUAACAGGUCUGUGAUGCCCUUAGAUGUUCUGGGCCGCACGCGCGCUACACUGAUCAAGUCAGCGAGUUUACAACCUUGGCCGGAAGGUCUGGGUAAUCUUUUGAAACUUGAUCGUGCUGGGGAUAGUCCAUUGCAAUUAUUGGACUUCAACGAGGAAUUCCUAGUAAGCGUGAGUCAUCAGCUCACGUUGAUUACGUCCCUGCCCUUUGUACACACCGCCCGUCGCU